This 497-nucleotide ribosomal RNA is filed under the name uncultured bacterium. RNAcentral describes it as "partial 16S ribosomal RNA". It matches the Rfam family "Bacterial small subunit ribosomal RNA", at positions 28 to 507 of the family's 1533-position model. The record is from RNAcentral.
GAUGAACGCUGGCGGCGUGCCUAAUACAUGCAAGUCGAGCGAACAGACGAGGAGCUUGCUCCUUUGACGUUAGCGGCGGACGGGUGAGUAACACGUGGGUAACCUACCUAUAAGACUGGGAUAACUUCGGGAAACCGGAGCUAAUACCGGAUAAUAUUUCGAACCGCAUGGUUCGAUAGUGAAAGAUGGCUCUGCUAUCACUUAUAGAUGGACCUGCGCCGGAUUAGCUAGUUGGUAAGGUAACGGCUUACCAAGGCAACGAUACGUAGCCGACCUGAGAGGGUGAUCGGCCACACUGGAACUGAGACACGGUCCAGACUCCUACGGGAGGCAGCAGUAGGGAAUCUUCCGCAAUGGGCGAAAGCCUGACGGAGCAACGCCGCGUGAGUGAUGAAGGUCUUCGGAUCGUAAAACUCUGUUAUUAGGGAAGAACAAACGUGUAAGUAACUGUGCACGUCUUGACGGUACCUAAUCAGAAAGCCACGGCUAACUACGUG